Molecule: long non-coding RNA, 490 nt
Organism: Gasterosteus aculeatus aculeatus (three-spined stickleback)
Lineage: Eukaryota; Metazoa; Chordata; Actinopteri; Perciformes; Gasterosteidae
Source: Ensembl
CGCGUAUACACGGCAGCACACAAAGGCAGCUCAUGGUUUGAGUUCAGUCAGGUGGAAGGUACAGAGGGAGACAGAUGUCAGGGGCUUUCUGCACGAUGAGACCUGCCACCCAACAACGCUUGGCCUCUGCGUUACCGGCAAACACUUCUCAGGUGAUUCAGAGGCCGAGGUGAGAAGACGUGCUCGCAGAACUCCACGCUGGCGUUUCAUCAGACAACUCGUGAGCGGAAGUAACAUCGUGUUUCUCAUUACCAACUGACACGUCACCACUCAGGCUCAGGGCUACAAUGCACCUGCAAUUCAGACUCAUUAAUGUGGACCAGAAGAACCGGGACUGGAAACCAGUGAUCAUUAGAGGACCCGCUGUGAGAGGUGAGUUUCUGGCAUCUGAGGCCUGAACUGAAGGUCCUCUGACCAAGACACACAACCCAGAGGACACAUUAACAUCGGAACAAAUGGUGAAGUUGGAUUUCACUCUCCCUCAGUUUAG